CUCCAGCCCGGACACCCAGGAC
This 22-nucleotide microRNA is filed under the name Ictalurus punctatus (channel catfish). RNAcentral's name for it is "ipu-miR-7555". The record is from miRBase by way of RNAcentral. Lineage: Eukaryota; Metazoa; Chordata; Actinopteri; Siluriformes; Ictaluridae.